AAUGAACGUUGGCGGCAUGGAUUAGGCAUGCAAGUCGAGCGCGAUUGACGAUGAAGCUUGCUUUAGCGUCAUGAAAGCGGCGAAAGGGAGAGUAACGCGUAGUUACAUGCCCUCGGGUCCGGAAUAGCUGCGGGAAACUGCAGGUAAUGCCGGAUAAUAUCUACGGAUCAAAGGUGUGAUUCCGCCCGAGGAGUGGACUGCGUCCUACUAGCUAGUUGGUGGGGUAAUGGCCUACCAAGGCGACGAUGGGUAGCGGGCGUGAGAGCGUGGUCCGUCUCACUGGGACUGAGACACUGCCCAGACACCUACGGGUGGCUGCAGUCGAGAAUCUUCGGCAAUGGACGAAAGUCUGACCGAGCGAUGCCGCGUGCGGGAUGAAGGCCCUCGGGUUGUAAACCGCUGUCGUAGAGGAGAAAGGCUCUGUGAAGAGCAGAGUUUGAUCUAUUCUAGGAGGAAGUCCGGGCUAAGUUCGUGCCAG
This 478-nucleotide ribosomal RNA is filed under the name uncultured bacterium. Its description in RNAcentral is "bacterial SSU rRNA". It matches the Rfam family "Bacterial small subunit ribosomal RNA", at positions 29 to 511 of the family's 1533-position model. The record is from RNAcentral.